Molecule: ribosomal RNA, 407 nt
Filed under: uncultured bacterium
Lineage: Bacteria
Description: bacterial SSU rRNA
Rfam family: Bacterial small subunit ribosomal RNA
Source: RNAcentral
UUAGGAAUCUUGCGCAAUGGGGGCAACCCUGACGCAGCGACACAGCGUGGAGGAUGAAGGUCUUCGGAUUGUAAACUCCUUUUAUGAGGGACGAAUAGAUGACGGUACCUCAUGAAUAAGUACCUGCUAACUACGUGCCAGAAGCAUCGGUGAUGCGUAGGGUACGAACGUUAUCCGGAGUCAUUGGGCGUAAAGAGAAGCGUAGGCGGUUUAGUAAGUCUUUGGUUAAAAACCACGGCUCAACCGUGGGGAAGCUUUGGAUACUGCUAGACUUGAGAUAUAGAGGGGUAAAUGGAAUUCCGAGUGGAGUGGUGAAAUACGUUGAUAUUCGGAGGAACAUCAGAGGCGAAGGCGAUUUACUGGCUAUAUUCUGACGCUAAGGCUCGAAAGCGUGGGUAGCAAAACGG